This 483-nucleotide ribosomal RNA is filed under the name uncultured bacterium. RNAcentral describes it as "partial 16S ribosomal RNA". It matches the Rfam family "Bacterial small subunit ribosomal RNA", at positions 28 to 523 of the family's 1533-position model. The record is from RNAcentral.
GAUGAACGCUGGCGGCGUGCUUAACACAUGCAAGUCGAACGAUGAAGCCUAGCUUGCUGGGUGGAAGAGUGGCGAACGGGUGAGUAACACGUGAGUAACCUGCCCAUGACUCUGGGAUAAGCGCUGGAAACGGCGUCUAAUACUGGAUAUGCACAGCGGCUGCAUGGUCAGUUGUGGGAAAGAUUUAUCGGUCAUGGAUGGAAUCGCGGCCUAUCAGAUCGUUGGUGAGGCAAUGGCUCACCAAGGCGACGACGGGUAGCCGGCCUGAGAGGGUGAACGGCCAGUCUUUGACUAAGAAACGUACCAGACUCCGACGGGAAGCAGCAGUGGGGAAUAUUGGACAAUGGGCGCAAGCCUGAUGCAGCAACGCCGCGUGAGGGAUGACGGCCUUCGGGUUGUAAACCUCUUUAAGUAGGGAAGAAGCGUAAGUGACGGUAGCUGCAGAAAAAGCACCGGCUAACUACGUGCCAGCCGCCGCCGUAA